RNAcentral lists this ribosomal RNA (484 nucleotides) under uncultured bacterium. RNAcentral's name for it is "partial 16S ribosomal RNA". It matches the Rfam family "Bacterial small subunit ribosomal RNA", at positions 30 to 507 of the family's 1533-position model. The record is from RNAcentral.
AUUGAACGCUGGCGGCAGGCCUAACACAUGCAAGUCGAGCGAACGAAGGGAGCUCGCUCCUGGCUUCAGCUGCCGACGGGUGAGUAAUGACUAGGAGUCUGCCUGGUAGUGGGGGAUAACAUCCGGCCACGGCCGCUAAUACCGCAUCCGUCAUGAGGGAGAAAGUGGGGGAUCUUCGGACAUAACGCUUUCAGAUGACCCUAGGUCGUAUUAGCUAGUUGGUGUGGUAAAGGCUUACCAAGGCAACGAUGCGUAACUGAUCUGAGAGGGUGAUCCGCCACACUGGAACUGAGACACGGUCCAGACUCCUACGGGAGGCAGCAGUAGGGAAUCUUCGGCAAUGGGCGAAAGCUUGACGGAGCAACGCCGCGUGAGUGAUGAAGGUCUUCGGAUCGUAAAACUCUGUUAUUAGGGAAGAACAAAUGUGUAAGUAAAUAUGCCCGUCUUGACGGUACCUAAUCAGAAAGCAACGGCUAACUACGUG